GACGAACGCUGGCGGCGUGCUUAACACAUGCAAGUCGAACGGAAAGGCCCUGCUUUUGUGGGGUGCUCGAGUGGCGAACGGGUGAGUAACACGUGAGUAACCUGCCCUUGACUUUGGGAUAACUUCAGGAAACUGGGGCUAAUACCGGAUAGGAGCUCCUGCUGCAUGGUGGGGGUUGGAAAGUUUCGGCGGUUGGGGAUGGACUCGCGGCUUAUCAGCUUGUUGGUGGGGUAGUGGCUUACCAAGGCUUUGACGGGUAGCCGGCCUGAGAGGGUGACCGGGCACAAUGGGACUGAGAUACGGCCCAGACUUCUACGGGGGGCAGCAGUGGGGAAUAUUGCACAAUGGGCGGAAGCCUGAUGCAGCAACGCCGCGUGCGGGAUGACGGCCUUCGGGUUGUAAACCGCUUUCGCCUGUGACGAAGCGUGAGUGACGGUAAUGGGUAAAGAAGCACCGGCUAACUACGUG
RNAcentral lists this ribosomal RNA (468 nucleotides) under uncultured bacterium. RNAcentral describes it as "partial 16S ribosomal RNA". It matches the Rfam family "Bacterial small subunit ribosomal RNA", at positions 28 to 507 of the family's 1533-position model. The record is from RNAcentral.